CCCUGACAGCCAUGCUCCCCCCAAAUCCCAUUUAUUCGUUUGCAUGCUCUUUUGUCCUUGGCACUCCAGCUGGCACCAGCAGCAGACAGGGAAUGCAGUGGGACAGAAUUCCCCGUGCCUCAGCAGCUCUGGAGCAAGGGCAGUGAGAAAUCUCAAUAGGAAGCCUGCACAGCAAAGAUUUCUUCAUCCUUUUUUGAAGGCACAGUGUGACCAAAGAACUCAGAUAAGGCUCCAAAAGUCCUUUGGGCUUGAGUCUGGCCCUCUGGCUCUCCAGCACCAACUCCACACUUGGUCCUUCGCACAAGCGUCCCC
RNAcentral lists this long non-coding RNA (312 nucleotides) under Gallus gallus (chicken). The record is from RNAcentral. Lineage: Eukaryota; Metazoa; Chordata; Aves; Galliformes; Phasianidae.